Molecule: transfer RNA, 101 nt
Filed under: Escherichia coli
Lineage: Bacteria; Pseudomonadati; Pseudomonadota; Gammaproteobacteria; Enterobacterales; Enterobacteriaceae
Also listed under: 7 other names
Description: tRNA-Pro
Source: RNAcentral
GGCUUGCGUACGGUAGAGGACUAACCGGUCACGCUGGGAUAGCGUGACAUCCAGUAAACACUGCCACUGGAUCGCGAAUUCGAAUCUCGCCCAAGCCACCA